RNAcentral lists this ribosomal RNA (207 nucleotides) under uncultured bacterium. RNAcentral's name for it is "partial 16S ribosomal RNA". It matches the Rfam family "Bacterial small subunit ribosomal RNA", at positions 524 to 727 of the family's 1533-position model. The record is from RNAcentral.
UACGGAGGGGGCUAGCGUUGUUCGGAAUUACUGGGCGUAAAGCGCACGUAGGCGGCGAUCUAAGUCAGAGGUGAAACGCCCGGGGCUCAACCCCGGAACUGCCUUUGAGACUGGAUUGCUAGAAUCACGGAGAGGUGGGGUGGAAUUCCGAGUGUAGAGGUGAAAUUCGAUAGAUAUUCGGAAGAACACCAGUGGCGAAGGCGGCCC